RNAcentral lists this transfer RNA (64 nucleotides) under Phalacridae sp. KM-2017. Its description in RNAcentral is "tRNA-Leu". It matches the Rfam family "tRNA". Rfam says of the family: Transfer RNA (tRNA) molecules are approximately 80 nucleotides in length. The record is from RNAcentral. Lineage: Eukaryota; Metazoa; Arthropoda; Insecta; Coleoptera; Phalacridae.
UCUAAUAUGGCAGAAUAGUGCAUUGGAUUUAAGUCCCAAAAAUAAAGUUUUCCUUUUUUUAGAA